This 499-nucleotide ribosomal RNA is filed under the name uncultured bacterium. RNAcentral describes it as "partial 16S ribosomal RNA". It matches the Rfam family "Bacterial small subunit ribosomal RNA", at positions 899 to 1397 of the family's 1533-position model. The record is from RNAcentral.
ACUCAAAGGAAUAGACGGGGGCCCGCACAAGCGGUGGAUCAUGUGGUUUAAUUCGAAGCAACGCGCAGAACCUUACCUAGGUUUGACAUCUUCAGACAACCGUAGAAAUACGGCUUUUGUAGCAAUACAACUGAAAGACAGGUGCUGCAUGGCUGUCGUCAGCUCGUGUGGUGACAUGUUGGGUUAAGUCCCGCAACGAGCGCAACCCUUGCCUUUAGUUGCCAGCAUUAAGUUGGGCACUCUAGAGGGACUGCCGUGGUUAACACGGAGGAAGGUGGGGAUGACGUCAAGUCCUCAUGGCCUUUAUAUCUAGGGCGACACACGUGAUACAAUGGACGACACAAAGGGAAGCGAACCUGCGAGGGGGAGCUAAUCUCAAAAAGUCGUUCUCAGUUCGGAUUGGAGUCUGCAACUCGACUCCAUGAAGCUGGAAUCGCUAGUAAUCGUGGAUCAGAACGCCACGGUGAAUACGUUCCCGGGCCUUGCACACACCGCCCGU